GAGGGGUGACGAGCUGAUAUUUGGAAGACUUAUUAUAUCAAAUUGUAUGUUUCUGUGGUUUUCAUUAAGAUCUUUGACAUACGAUUAUUAUUAAUAUUAGAAUUAUUCACAGAACAGGGGCCUAUAUAGUAUAACUGCUGGAUUGUGUGGGGUCCCCUGGGCAGUGGGAGCCCCCGUAAUUGUCACCACCUUUCACCCCACUAGCAACGACCCUGUCCGCAUCCAUACCAUUUAUAAAGUGCUUUAAUAUGGCGAAGCUGCUGUGGUGCAGGUGGCGUCUUCUGCAGCGUGCUGCUGGGGUUUUGGGCAAUGUCGGGGUCCUCACCCAGGGUCUGUAUAUGUUGCUGGCACUCCAUACUGUGUGUGGUGACCUUAUGACUUCUCUGAAGAAGCUGUGGAAGAUGUGUAACCUUAGUGAGGAUGUCGCAGGAGCCACCCUCAUGGCUGCAGGAACAUCAGCACCUGAAAUCUUUAUAUCCACUAUAAGUGAGUUCUUCACUCAGGCGGAUGUUGGUGUAAAGACCAUCAUUGGAUCAGGACUCUUCAACAUCCUCUUCAUCACUGGACUGUGUGGGAUUGCUGCUGGACACGUGUGGGAAAGUUUGCUGUUGGUGGUCAUGUAUGUGGGAUACAUUUUGAUCACGAUAUUUAACUCCCACAUACAGACUUUUUUCAGGAUCGAACCAUCAAGUGGACACGAGCGAGAGAACGACAAUGACAUUCAGCUGAGGGGGUGGAGGAAGAGAGCAACACUGGGGAUGCGGACUUGUCCACGGACGAUCCGGGUGAGGGGACAAGCAAGGACCAGUCAAAGGAGUCCACGGACGAUGGAGCGCCGACCUCACCGUUCUCUAUACCAAUGGGGGGGCGUGUGGACUGACACUGGAAUUCUACGGAGUGUUUCGGAUCGGUUCUUCUGUCACAAGGAUCUUAACCAAACAUAGAAAGAGCAAGUCAGGACGACAGAAACCCACAGAUGGAGAACACAACCCCGCCGUCGGCUGUCGACCCACUGUCGCAGUGUCCCUGAUGGCUCUAAUUUUGUUUCUUGUGAGGAUUCCAGCAAUCUCCUCCAGUUUGUGAAGUCCAUCACCACAAAGGGUCUGAAUGUACAGGCCUACAUAAAGAGGGCAGAGCUGCUGAGUGGAAUAUUCAAAGCUGUCUAAUUGAAGUCUGGUGCUCUCCAAAUCAGUGCACAGUGCCACAUCUCCACAAAACGUGUGUGUGUUUCCUUCACAAAACAGUGUUCCUCACAGUACUGUGCCCUCAGCACACAAGUCACAAGGGAAAUUCCAUUUGUUUGUACUUCUGUUGCUGUACUUUAGGCUUCUGGCAUGGGUCAUCUUCAGACCGCAGUGGAAGAAGGCCUUAACCUCCCGGAGUCCCCCCGUCUCAGGCCAAUCCAAAGUCCAUCACAGUGUCCCUCUGCAUUUAAGACAGAUAGCUCAGGAAAAGUGCUCUGUGCAGGGAAAGUUUCUCACAGUUACAGAUGGGGAGAGCUUCUGUGGAUUGUCACUGACCUGGGAAACAACGCCACAGAAUUUCCUUUGUGUGAAUUUCCCUCCAUUAUGAUGCUGUAAGGACAGAGAUUUACUUUAAGGGCAGUCAUUGCUUUCAGAGCAGGUUUAACCCAGGAUGCUCUUGGACAUUAUGUGGCCUAUUGCAGGAGGUCUCCAUGUGUCUGGGAGAUGUAUGACGACCUGAGAAGUGCAGUGACAGGAGCGUCAGAAAACGACAAAAUGCCACAUACAUCAUUGAAAUUCAAUUUAUUUUUAUAAAGUUUUUUUUGUAUUCCACACACCAUUAUUUUCCUACUCCUGUUUGGAGAAGUAUCUGCAUUUCUGGAAGUUGGUUUUGAUGUUUUUACUAAAGUCUGUGUGGUAUUUUUGCCUUGUCAGUAUUGAGUGUUUUUAAGUUUAAGUUUUUAAAAGUCCAUUUUUUUGUUACUGGAUUUUUGAUUCAAUUUCAAAAGUAAAAUAAUUUUGGCUUAA
Molecule: RNA transcript, 1991 nt
Organism: Tachysurus fulvidraco (yellow catfish)
Lineage: Eukaryota; Metazoa; Chordata; Actinopteri; Siluriformes; Bagridae
Gene name: sodium/potassium/calcium exchanger 3-like
Exons: 10
Source: RefSeq, a predicted model, not a curated record